CAUUUCAAAUAUAUAUAUGUGUGUAAAUUUUUAUGAGUGUAUAGAAAUGCACUGCUCUAAACAGUAGCAAUGUACAUGUAAAAAAAAAAUAUGCAGUGUUAUUUUGAAAAUGAGGUGUUUGAAACUUUUAACUUUUUUUUUUCAUUUCAGAAAUGAAGGUCUCUGAGUUACCUGUAAAAACUGCAGAAUGGCAUCAUCCAUUAACCUGGGACAUGGUCAAAGAAAAGGAAGAAGAACUUAAAAAGCUUGAGGGUGCCAGAUAUCGUCUAUAAGCUAUUUUCCUUAUCUUUUUUCUAGAGGAGAGACUGUGAUUAGUAAUAAGAAGAUUCAUUAUUAAAGUGACGAUAGAACUCACAAAUUUUUGUGCUGUCUGUUUGGUUUUUUAUAGCAGCAAUUUAACACAAAUAAAAAUAAAGAGAAAGC
Long non-coding RNA from Saccostrea cuccullata (small rock oyster), 423 nucleotides. RefSeq lists it as uncharacterized. NCBI's taxonomy places the organism in Eukaryota, Metazoa, Mollusca, Bivalvia, Ostreida, Ostreidae. The transcript is spliced from 2 exons. The record is from RefSeq and is a predicted model, not a curated record.